AUCUGAAGUACCAGCAUCCGAGUUCGUAUUGCAAUCCGGGGGCACUGGCAGCGGUGCUGCCGCCGAUUGGUCAGAAGGCUCAGUCGAAGAGCAAGCUGAGCCUUAUUGUAGGUAUUGCUGCUGCGGUCGUGGGUGGCGCGGCGGUGUUGGGGAUAUUGUUGCUUCUCGUUUUCAAGAGAGGGAAAGCAGAGGCCGACAGAGUUGCUCAGUCACAGAAGUCUGCAGUAAGCAAAGCUCCGAGCCCGGUUUAUCCG
Molecule: unclassified non-coding RNA, 254 nt
Filed under: Hevea brasiliensis (rubber tree)
Lineage: Eukaryota; Viridiplantae; Streptophyta; Magnoliopsida; Malpighiales; Euphorbiaceae
Source: RNAcentral